CGGCGCGCCUCAUACAUGCAAGUCGAGCGAGAAAGCCCGCUUCGGUGGGUGAUUAAAGCGGCGAACGGGUGCGUAACACGUGGGCAACCUGCCUUUAGGUCUGGGAUAAGGCGCCGAAAGGGGGUCUAAUACCGGAUAACACCUUUCUAUCGCAUGGUAGAAAGUUCAAAGACCGCUUGCGGUCGCCUGAAGAUGGGCCCGCGGCCUAUUAGCUAGUUGGUGAGAUAACAGCCCACCAAGGCUGCGAUGGGUAGCCGUCCUGAGAGGGUGAACGGCCACACUGGGACUGAGAUACGGCCCAGAGUGCUACGGGAGGCAGCAGUAGGGAAUAUUGCGCAAUGCCCGAAAGGGCGACGCAGCGACGCCGCGUGGGUGAUGAAGCUUCUUGGAGCGUAAAGCCCUUUCAGAAGGGAAGAACCGCAUGGAGGUGAACCUCCGUGCCUGACGGUACCUUCAGAAGAAGCUCCGGCUAACUCCGUGCCAGCAGCCGCGGUAAUACGGAGGGAGCAAGCGUUGUUCGGAAUCACUGGGCGUAAAGGGCGCGUAGGCGGGCCGGUGAGUCAGGUGUGAAAACCCGGGGCUUAACCCCGGGCCUGCACUUGAUACUAUCGGUCUUGAGUACGAGAGAGGAAAGCGGAAUUCCAGGUGUAGCGGUGAAAUGCGUAGAUAUCUGGGAGAACACCGGUGGCGAAGGCGGCUUUCUGGCUCGAUACUGACGCUGAUGCGCGAAGGCUAGGGGAGCAAACAGGAUUAGAUACCCUGGUAGUCCUAGCGGUAAACGAUGGGCACUAGGUGUUGGAGGACUUACCCCUUCAGUGCCGCAGCUAACGCAUUAAGUGCCCCGCCUGGGGAGUACGAUCGCAAGAUUGAAACUCAAAGGAAUUGACGGGGCCCCGCACAAGCAGUGGAGUAUGUGGUUUAAUUCGAUGCAACGCGAAGAACCUUACCUGGGCUUGACAUCAACUGGAAAGCCAUAGAGAUAUGGCCCCCUCUUCGGAGGUCGGUUGACAGGUGCUGCAUGGCUGUCGUCAGCUCGUGCCGUGAGGUGUUGGGUUAAGUCCCGCAACGAGCGCAACCCCUGUCCAUAGUUACCAGCGGUUCGGCCGGGCACUCUAUGGAGACUGCCUCGGUUAACGAG
Molecule: ribosomal RNA, 1138 nt
Filed under: uncultured organism
Description: bacterial SSU rRNA
Rfam family: Bacterial small subunit ribosomal RNA
Source: RNAcentral